GAUGAACGCUGGCGGCGUGCCUAAUACAUGCAAGUCGAGCGAACGGACGAGAAGCUUGCUUCUCUGAUGUUAGCGGCGGACGGGUGAGUAACACGUGGAUAACCUACCUAUAAGACUGGGAUAACUUCGGGAAACCGGAGCUAAUGCCGGAUAAUAUUUUGAACCGCAUGGUUCAAAAGUGAAAGACGGUCUUGCUGUCACUUAUAGAUGGAUCCGCGCUGCAUUAGCUAGUUGGUAAGGUAACGGCUUACCAAGGCAACGAUGCAUAGCCGACCUGAGAGGGUGAUCGGCCACACUGGAACUGAGACACGGUCCAGACUCCUACGGGAGGCAGCAGUAGGGAAUCUUCCGCAAUGGGCGAAAGCCUGACGGAGCAGCGCCGCGUGAGUGAUGAAGGUCUUCGGAUCGUAAAACUCUGUUAUUAGGGAAGAACAUAUGUGUAAGUAACUGUGCACAUCUUGACGGUACCUAAUCAGAAAGCCACGGCUAACUACGUG
This 497-nucleotide ribosomal RNA is filed under the name uncultured bacterium. Its description in RNAcentral is "partial 16S ribosomal RNA". It matches the Rfam family "Bacterial small subunit ribosomal RNA", at positions 28 to 507 of the family's 1533-position model. The record is from RNAcentral.